Molecule: long non-coding RNA, 236 nt
Organism: Zingiber officinale
Lineage: Eukaryota; Viridiplantae; Streptophyta; Magnoliopsida; Zingiberales; Zingiberaceae
Exons: 2
Source: RefSeq, a predicted model, not a curated record
CAAAGACGCUGAAAGACAACUGUCAAAGAAGGAGCUUAAGAAAAAGGAAAUGGCAGAGUUGGAUGUACUUCUACAUGAAAUGGGCAUUGCAAAUAAAGAUAGUAAUACUGCACAAAAUGAGACAGCUGACAAGAAGCAACUGGAGCAAAGUAGUGAAGGGGAGAAGAAAGAAAGUGUUGGUGCUCCUUCAGAGAACAGAAUCUUAAAGAAGAAGAAAUCCAAGAAAGAAAAAUCAU